RNAcentral lists this long non-coding RNA (7994 nucleotides) under Homo sapiens (human). RNAcentral describes it as "non-protein coding LINC01116:14". Lineage: Eukaryota; Metazoa; Chordata; Mammalia; Primates; Hominidae. The record is from RNAcentral.
CUCUCCAAGCUGCUCCGAGGGGAAUGGGGAAUCGGCAGGAAAUGACCCGAACUGCCAGCCUGCGCCUUUGCAGCCGGCCCUCGCUUUGCUGAAGACGAGCAGCUCCCACCAAAGUCUUGCCUCCCCUUACCCCGAAAGCCCCGCUCAGGUUUGUAAAGAGGGGUGCGAGAUCUGAAAAGUAUUUGUCUUCUAGGGAGAGAGAUGUUGGUAAGGGGCCCAGAGAAAGACGGGUCCUUUUUAGCUCAUCAACGCGCCACGUCUUGCUUUGCAGCUCCAAAAUGAUGCCAGCGCUGCUGUCCGAAGGGUCAAUAUUAAUGCGUUAAGUGAAAUGGGAAAUAAAUGGACAGUGGCACAUUUCGUGGCAUCAUUUUUACAAGGGGAUGUCGAAAGUUUUAAGCUGCAUUUAAGAAUUAGCCACAUCUUGCCUGAAAGUUAAUAUUUUUUGAUAAACUCGUUAAUAAAGCCUAGAAGAGGUAAGUUAAAGUUAGUUACCACGUAGAUCCUCCAGUCUCUUGUAGAGACUUGCGCAGGUUACUAGGAUGAGGACGAGUUGUAUUUUUAAUUUUCUAGACUAAGUGCAAAGGCAUUGAGUUUUGAGGUGGCAGGGUUAAUGUUCAAGGGCAAAUGGAACCGCCAAGGAUCUCUUGAAAAGAAUUCACUUACUAUUAAUACUUAAGCCUGAAAUAAUUAUAAUUAAUUUACAGUGGGAAUUAUAUGCCCAUGUUUUAGACUUUUUUGUUAUAUUAGCUAUAUGAAAAGGGAUGUUCUUUAGUGAUUAAAAGAAAAAACCACCUGUUUAUUGUCAUUUGCAAUUUGAAAUAGCCGACAGCAGUAAGGCUAGCUACAAAAGCUAACAAGUCAACUUCAGUGUGGUUUGACAUUUACUGUCAAAGCUUUGAGCUCUAAGAAAAACAGAAUUUAAAAUAAUGUAUAUAAAUAAUAAAAUUUCAUUGUGACUCAAUGUCCCUGCCCCUGGAGAAGGGACAGAUGACACUCAGUGACUGGCUUGGAACCAUUCCCCCUGCAGAUGCAUUUGCGGAUACAGUGGGCCAGGGCUGCCUCUGAGUAUGUACAGCAAGUGCUUAUGGACUUACAGAAACAAAUGUUUUACUAUUUAGGAUUUUCUCAAUAGUUUACACUAAAAGUUUUGCAUGUAGAAAUGUGGGAUAAAUAUUUCUUUGAAAGGAAAAGUUUCGAAAGGAAACUUUAUACUUGUAUUUUUUUGUGUGUUCACAUUUCUAAGUUCAUCUGUCUUUCAAAAAACAGAUUUUCAUAAAUAUUAAAAUAUUGCAAGUAUUAUUUUUAAUUCUUUUGAGUGCCAUGUUUGCUGUAAGUAGUUUUUUCUUUUAAGUAAGAUUAAUAUAAUCCUGUCUAAGGAGUUUAAUAGAGAGAACAGGAUUUCCAAGCCUAUAAAUGCAGUCUAUAUAAAAUAGUGGGAUCAAAGUUUUUUGUUAAGAAACUUGAGAAUUUAUACAUUUUAAAUGAAGAUAGAAGCACGUUUUAAAAGUAGUUUUUCCACACCAUUUCCCUCCCCCCAAAAGAAUUCAGAAACUAUAUUCCAUAGUCUAAAAAUGGCAUAAUCAGAUGUAAAAAUUAUUACCAUAAUAUAUAGUUUUCUCAAGAUGGUGGAUACUUUUUAAUAUAUUAUGAAGAGUUAUAUUCUCAGCCCACUGUGUGUUUGAGGGAAUGGAAAAGACAAGAUGUUUCUAAACAUAUUUUACUACUGAAAUCCAUAAGACUAUUAAGCUGUGCAGGUAAUUGUGUUCUAAGUGGUAGAAGUAUUUUUCCAACUGCUUUUUAAACUUUGAAAAAUUUAUAUGUAUUUUAAUUAGCACUUUUCUUUUAAAGGUUCCAAAUAUUUAGCUAUAUCAGCUAUGUGAUAAAAAUUAUUGGAAUUUGUUCCCUACUACUUUCUGCAUAAACAAUUGAGAAAUAUUUUAUACUAAUCUUUUUAUAUACAGGGGAUAAAUUUGAACAUGUGUCUUGUUGGUGUAAUAAACAAUCCAAAUUCAUUUCUUUCUUGAAAACUUGGCAUCGAUCUUCAUCUUAUUUUUUAUGCACACAAUUUGGACAUGCCAGUUUGUAGGCAAGUUUUAAGACAGUGCAAGUUUUAUGUGGAAGAAUGUAUAUUAAGGAAUGAAUAGCUAAUAGCCAAAAUUAAAUCAGGAGGUGUGGCAUUCACUCCUUUGGAUGAUUAUUUUAAAGAUAGUUUUGCACUCAGGAAGGAUUUUCUUAUGCUCUGUAUUUAUGAAUAUCUAAAUUAUCCUGCCUUGCAACUUCAAAACUCAAUAACCAAAUACCAAAUUUAUGUAUUUUCAGUGUGACUAAGGCUAGGAAUAUGAGAAGCAGAUUGGUUUUAUAAAAGAAAGCAAGCAUUUACAAUUGUAUUUUAAAAUAUAAUCCUAAUUUCAGUUUCUGACAGAAAUCUUGUGGUCAGCUCAUCAGUUUUUCAGAUCAGUUUCUAAAUAGCAUAUAAAAACUACCUUUUCCACAUCAGAAGUUCAUAUUUAGGUUUCCUUAACUGCAAAAUCACUUUAAAAGAGAGUGUUUUAUGUGAAGGGCCAUUUCAUGUGUUGGUUCCAUCGAUUACAUAUGAAUGUAUAAAAAUCUUGUUUAAAGACCAGUAAAAGUGAGGAAAUUCCAAGUCAGGCUGGCUAAUUCCAUUCAUAAUUCAUCCCGAGUACCUGACUGAGGAAACUUGCAAACAGUUUAUAGCUAUACAUACAAAAUAAGUUGACGUGCUUUGUAAGCUGGAAGCAGAGUUAAGUUUGACCUCCCUGCUUGGAAGGUCUUAAAUUAAUAAAAUUAUGGAAUAUGGUUAAGCUUUUCAGUUUCCCAAGAAUUUUCCAAUAUCGAUGCUUUUUGGAUUUUUGCAUUUUGAAAAUGUAAGCAUGGAAGGACAACUUCUUUUGUGCUGAGAUGAAGUUAGCUUUUACCCAUCCAUUUCCUUCCCACUUAACACAUUUGUUCAGUAAUUCUUCGAGUGCUGGGGGACAGAGGCCCUGCCUUGAGAAAAGCAUAUGCCAUUUCUCUGCCCCCUUCAACCAUCCCCACCCCCAGCCCUCCCUUUAUUUCAAGCCAGUUGGACAAGUAUUUAGCAUUGACACAUGUUUCAAACUGCUGCAUCCACAGCCCUAGGUAGUUUUGGGGAUUGGCAGGAAAUCCAUCUAGACUUUGCCUUCUGAGCUGGGUAAAACUACUAGGAAGUCCUAUGCCUUGAUAUUGUGGCACUUCUAGGCUGUCUUUCCAAUUUUAAGCAAUCCAUCAGUUGUUUUCUAAGACUGCACUGUAGACUGAUGCCUUCUCUUAGUUUUGAUGUUCAGAAGAUUUUUUAAACAUGUUCAUAGAUUUCUUAAACAUUCUGAGUAAUUGUAAUUUUAAACUAGACUAAUUUUAGGGUUGAAAACUGUCCCAGAGAGAGUCCUUACAUAAUAACUUCAAUCUGAUGUGAACUCGAAUGACUUUUUAAAAAUAAGAUGUUGAAAAUGUGGGUUUCUGGUGGAAAAGGCUGCCAUUCACUUAGAGUGGGAUCCUUAGGACCAGUUAAUAUCCACCAGACAUGCUUCAAUAAACUGGAACAAGCCUGAUGUGGAAUUACUGACUCCCCAUUUUCCUGAAUGUAGGUCAUUUUGUGUCCUUACAAUUUAACGUUUGAAGGGAUUUCCUGUCUUUGAAGUGCAACAGUUUGUCACCUGCUUGGCUAGCUGCCUUAACAGUUGGGGCUCCUUUCCUACAUUGAAAGACUUAGUGACUCCAUGUUCCCGGGCUAGAGUUUCCCAGCUCACUGAAUGCAUGAUACCUGCACCUCUGGGACUCUCCUCUACAAGUUAGUGCCUGCAGAUCCCCUGUUCCAAGCUUCAUUUCUCUAGGUCAAAGAGCCUAAAAGAAAAGCCCGGGCCGGGCGCGGUGGCUCACGCCUGUAAUCCCAGCACUUUGGGAGGCCGAGGCGGGCGGAUCACGAGGUCAGGAGAUCGAGACCAUCCCGGCUAAAACGGUGAAACCCCGUCUCUACUAAAAAUACAAAAAAUUAGCCGGGCGUAGUGGCGGGCGCCUGUAGUCCCAGCUCCUUGGGAGGCUGAGGCAGGAGAAUGGCGUGAACCCGGGAGGCGGAGCUUGCAGUGAGCCGAGAUCCCGCCACUGCACUCCAGCCUGGGCGACAGAGCGAGACUCCGUCUCAAAAAAAAAAAAAAAAAAAGAAAAGAAAAGCCCGGAGCCAUACACUCACCUGGUUGAAGCCAUAAAGAGUUCAAUAUUUCAAGUGAAAAUCUGCCUGUUCGAAAAGAAAAUAUUCACAAAUGAGCAGUGUAUUAGAAGACAACUGAAUUGCUUCUAAGAAUGGGUCUCACUCUGCCAUCACCCAGGCUGGAGUGUGGUGGCACCAUCAUGGCUCACUGCAGCCUUGAACUCCUGAGCUCAAGUCAUCCUCCCACCUCAGCCUUCCGAGUAGCUGGAACUGCAGGUGUGAGCCACCAUGCCUGGCUGAUUUGUCUUUUUAAAUUUUUUAUAGAGACCGAGUCUCAACUAUAUUGUCCAGGCUGGAAAAGAACUUCUUUCCCUCCAAGUGAUAACCUUUUCCAGACAAGUCAGCUUAAAAACUGACCCAAAGGCCCUGAAGUACACAGUUUUCUUGGAGAAAGAAAAAAAUAAGUGAAAAGGACUUGCUGACUUGCUAAUUCAUUUUGGGGCCUGUGGGUAACAUCAGAAUGGCAAAGCACUUGGGGCUUUUUUCUAAUUUGUAUUUUUUUAAUCUUCUGAGAAAUGACUUUUAUAUGCCAAGAUUCAUUCCAUGAUUAGUUUUUAUGACCAAGUUAUGAACGCUUUUGAAUAUGGGGACCUAGAAUAGAAAUGCUAACCUACCUGCAAGGAGAGCUCUGUGAUUGGCAUCCCCAUCAUGCUGUAACUGACACAAAAUAAACUUAGGGUAAUUGCCGCAUAGUGUAACUUUAAUGUGUGAGCAUACUGUAACAUCUGACAAGCUUCUUGAUCUAGAUCAGCAAUGUGUAACCCAUUCAUUGUUGUCACUCUCAACAAGGCCUUAUGGUCAAACAUCAUCACUCUCACUAAAGAGAUAGUUUACUGAAAUAUACUGAGAUUUUGAAACUGGAGUCAAGAGGUAGCACACUGUUUUAUGUUGAUCCAUUUAAUGGUCCUUGACAGCCAAUAAAAAGACACUGGAAGAAUACGUGAAUGCAGUAAUUGUUAAUAGGUCUAUUGAUAAUAUUUUCAACACCAGCCAACAUGUCCAUUUCCACCCUCCACCCUCAUUCUCACAUUAAGCUAUGGAGAGGGGGAAUAUUUGUACUUUUUUCAUGGUCUUCCAAAGGAUGGACAUACUACUGCCACGAGAGAAAUUGCUGGUCAGAGAGAAGCAAUUCCUUAGAGAAAGCAACCCACAUAUCAUCACCCAAGAGAGCUGAACCAUUGCCAACAUCUCCAUCAGGAACUUGGAAGAGUUUUCUGUCUUCCCAACACAAUAAAACUGGAGACACGAGCAUGCAGAGCUCCAGCCAGCACAAUUACAUAAAGCCAAAGCACAUUAUCACUUGCAGGCUGCAGGAUUUAUGGCCAACUAUGAUGGAAAAUACAGAGAUACUUUACUUGUCUGAAUUCAACACUCAAAAAAGAUAGUAUGUAUUAUAUUAAUGAUAGAGAAAAGUUGUAUAUAUUGUACUUUUUCUAAUGAAAACCUUAGUAAACAGAGCAGAAACAGAUGCCAGCAUCUUAGAGAAGAAAGAAAAAUGGAAAAGAUUGCCAGUUUGCUCCUCUUCAGACAAUAUGCAAUUGCUGUUCUUGUUGAAAAAUUCCUUUCAAAUGCAUUGAGGCAGCAUUUCUAUUUUGGUGGUUUUCUGCAUUUGAGUUGCUGCUUCUAACUUGAGUGGAACAGAGAAGUUUGUAUUCUCUAUGGGUGUCUGCUGUUCCAAGUAUGAAGCAGUGAAGCUAAAAUCACUUUACUUCUAGAAACCUGUGAUUUCCAUUUGCCAUGAGGUUAGCACUUCCUCUGGCAGUGCCUUUGCCACGAACUGUCAUAGAACCAUGCUGUUUAUCUAGCAUAGCAUUCUUCUUUAUCAUAGCUGCUUACCACUUGUUUCUGCUCUGGAAUGCACCCUGUACGUGCAGGUUAUGUGGUGUCCUGGCCCAGUGCUGGCACACGGUGAGCACUCACAAAAAUAUUGAAGAGCUCUCUUCAGGUUGUAAUUUUAUGUUACCAAUGUUUUUACACAGUUGGUUUGCAUUAUGAGUACACAGUGAGAAGGUAAACCAGUGUGCUGUUUGUCUAUCGUUUCCAAAUUUUGAAUUAUUUAAAUACAUGUUAGUGAAAUCACUGUUUAUCAGAACCAAAAUUGCAAUCUUAAAACUUCUGCAAGAUAGAAAAGAUUGUUUAACAAAGGAAGGAAAAUAUUACAAAAACAGAUUUCUCUCUUAAUUUUGUCAGUGCUUGGACUUGGUCCCCAAAUCUUAAAAGUGAAUUUGUUUCCAGAACACCUGAAACAGAGACCACAUUUUUAUGUUUGCCUUUUUGCAGUGAAGUUUACAUUAGGGAGCUAUAUUUUCCUUAUAUUUAUUUUUAAAUCAUUUGGGCUUUCCAAUAAAAUAGCAUUCUCAUUUUCUUCCCUCUUCCCAGAUUAAUGCAUUUAUUAUUUUAAUGCAUGAAGGGGUCCACGUGGCGCUAUGGUUGGUGGCUGGGAUGCUCUGGAGUGGUGCGCUUGGAAAACAAUGUGUUAUUUGCACUUGAGAAAAUACUUUGUUGGCUAAGUGUCUAGGCACUGAAACAGUAACAGUUCAUCAAAAGACAGUUAUCCCAGAUACGCUUCCAAGAGUGGCAAUCAGUUUUCCUAAAGAGUCAAAGAAAAGAGUGAGAAUUGUGGGAAGUGGGAGACUAGAAGGACAGACUCAUUUGGAAACAGGAAGUGGUUCAAGGAACUUAGGAUUUGGAAUAUAGGAAAAGAAAUGGGGAAACAUACCCAUGCCUUCUCUUCUCUGUAGACAUCCAAUUUGAACCUACUCCAGAUUAGUAGGAAGUAAAAUCAUUAUCUGAUGUUCUGUGGCCACAUGGAAAAUACAUUGGUAGUUGCAACCAGACUAGAGUCAACAUUGAGAAACCAAUAGAACCACUAACUUGGGCUGGUGAGGCACAGCUACUGGUCAAAACCUGCCCAGGAGGCCCAGUACCACUCACAGUCAGGAUCGGGGUCAUGGUAGGGGAAGGUCAGCUAGCUUACUGCAGCCCAUCUCUGAUGGGGAGGUGAGGACUUCCAGCCCUGGGCUGCUCAUUCACCUCCCCUCUGGAGCAGUAAACAGGGAAGUAGCAAGAAGCUAAGCUCCUUUUGUUAGGCAUUGUUAAUUCCUCCAAGGUGACCAUUGAUGUAUUUUUUAUUCAGUAACUUAGCAUAUAUGUGUGUGCACAAUUAAUAGUUAUAUAUAAUAAAAGUGAAUAUAUUAAAAUUUAAAAAAAUAAAUUAUGAUCAUUGCACAAUUCUGUGACUAUACUACAAACCAUUAAAAUGUAUACUUUAAAUGGGUGUUUUUUAUGUUAUUUAUGUGAUUAUGUCUCAAUAAAGAUGUUUUAAAACCAUAAAUGUUUUUAUCCAUUAUUUUCCCUAAAAAAUCAUGCAUUGGGUUUUGUUAUUAUCAUUGACUUCCUUCCUUCUGUGUUUUUAUAUUGCCUUCUUCAAGUCUUGGUGAUCCCAGGAUAUACUCCAGAACUGAUAAAUGUUGGCUAAUGAAUUGUAGCUUUAUUCCAGUUUUAGCACUGCCAGGCCAGGCUAUAUUGUCUGUGUUAUGGGGUCAGUAUGAAAAAUUUUACUAAAAAAUGAAACUGACCCAGAGAGAGGCUCUUCAUGAGCUCCUGCACUUCCUCCUACUCACCUCACCUCCCAGGGUGCUCCUUGCCUUCUCUGGGUAUUGAUGCUUAUUGUGAUCUUGUGUACCAUAAUUUGAAAGGUAUUCUCUGAUACCUUCCACUACUACACUCUGUGGUUACAGAAGAGAUUGGU